Molecule: long non-coding RNA, 511 nt
Organism: Arabidopsis thaliana (thale cress)
Lineage: Eukaryota; Viridiplantae; Streptophyta; Magnoliopsida; Brassicales; Brassicaceae
Product: other RNA
Exons: 1
Source: RefSeq
CGGCGGUGAAGAUGGUUUCACGAACUUUUCGUUUUGACAAGAAGAGAGGGAACAGAGGUGGCUAGGGUUUAUGAUCGAAAACCAAAAAAAAAAAAAAAGAUCUUUCUUUAGUGGUGAUUGGUCGUGACCGUUGGAUGGUAUUCUCGACGGUUUAGAUUGAUUCUGGUUCGAUGGGUCCAAGGCUAUCUUUUUUUCUUUUUUCUCGACUGCGAAUUUUUUGGGUUACACGAAUAUUUAGAAAAAUUUAAACGAAUUUUAAAAACGGAAUGGGCCGAAAUUUUCAAAAGGUGACAACAUGAAAUGACAAGAUUGCCCUCGGGUUUAAAGCGAAAGGUGUCUGAAUCUCAAGUGUUUAAUUACAGUUGUUGGAGGAAUCUCUAGUUGUUAGAGCAUCUCCAAUUGAGAGAGCUCCUCUAUUGGCUCUCUCCAUUUCUUUAUGAUUAAAUUUCACAAAAAGUGAUUAGAGAGCUUUUGUUUUUGUUUUUUUAGGUUUUCAUCUUCCAAUGGUAGG